This 429-nucleotide ribosomal RNA is filed under the name Verrucomicrobiota bacterium. Its description in RNAcentral is "Verrucomicrobia bacterium partial 16S ribosomal RNA". It matches the Rfam family "Bacterial small subunit ribosomal RNA", at positions 355 to 776 of the family's 1533-position model. Lineage: Bacteria; Pseudomonadati; Verrucomicrobiota. The record is from RNAcentral.
UAGGGAAUUUUCCGCAAUGGACGAAAGUCUGACGGAGCAACGCCGCGUGAGUGAAGAAGGAUUUCGGUUCGUAAAACUCUGUUGUUAGGGAAGAAAAAAUGUAUAGUAACUAUAUACAAAAGAGACGGUACCUAACCAGAAAGCCACGGCUAACUACGUGCCAGCAGCCGCGGUAAUACGUAGGUGGCAAGCGUUGUCCGGAAUUAUUGGGCGUAAAGCGCGCGCAGGUGGUUUAGAAAGUCUGAUGUGAAAGCCCACGGCUCAACCGUGGAGGGUCAUUGGAAACUAAUAAACUUGAGUGCAGGGGAGAAAAGUGGAAUUCCUAGUGUAGCGGUGAAAUGCGUAGAGAUUAGGGGGAACACCGGUGGCGAAAGCGGCUUUUUGGCCUGCAACUGACACUGAGGCGCGAAAGCGUGGGGAGCAAACAGG